AUUGAACGCUGGCGGCAUGCCUUACACAUGCAAGUCGAACGGUAACAGGUCUUCGGAUGCUGACGAGUGGCGAACGGGUGAGUAAUACAUCGGAACGUGCCCAGUCGUGGGGGAUAACGAAGCGAAAGCUUUGCUAAUACCGCAUACGAUCUACGGAUGAAAGCGGGGGAUCGCAAGACCUCGCGCGAUUGGAGCGGCCGAUGGCAGAUUAGGGAGUUGGUGGGGUAAAGGCUUACCAAGCCUACGAUCUGUAGCUGGUCUGAGAGGACGACCAGCCACACUGGGACUGAGACACGGCCCAGACUCCGACGGGAGGCAGCAGUGGGGAAUUUUGGACAAUGGGCGCAAGCCUGAUCCAGCAAUGCCGCGUGCAGGAUGAAGGCCUUCGGGUUGUAAACUGCUUUUGUACGGAACGAAAAGCUCUGGGUUAAUACCCUGGGGUCAUGACGGUACCGUAAGAAUAAGCACCGGCUAACUACGUGCCAGCCGCCGCCGUAA
This 498-nucleotide ribosomal RNA is filed under the name uncultured bacterium. Its description in RNAcentral is "partial 16S ribosomal RNA". It matches the Rfam family "Bacterial small subunit ribosomal RNA", at positions 30 to 523 of the family's 1533-position model. The record is from RNAcentral.